Molecule: ribosomal RNA, 732 nt
Filed under: uncultured marine group III euryarchaeote
Lineage: Archaea; Methanobacteriati; Thermoplasmatota; Thermoplasmata; Candidatus Thermoprofundales
Description: bacterial SSU rRNA
Rfam family: Archaeal small subunit ribosomal RNA
Source: RNAcentral
UUCCGGUUGAUCCUGCCGAAGGCUACUGCUAUUGGAGUUCGAUUAAGCCAUGCGAGUCUAAGGGAUCUUCGGAUCCCUGGCGUAAUGCUCAGUAACACGUGGAUAAUCUACCCUCAGGUGGGGCAUAAACCCGGGAAACUGGGGCCAAUUCCCCAUAAAUACAGAUGGCUGGAAUGCUUCUGUAUUCAAAGCUCCGGCGCCUGAGGAUGAGUCUGCGGCCUAUCAGGUUGUAGUCAGGGUCAUGACCUGACUAGCCAGCGACGGGUAUGGGGUGUGAGAGCACUUGCCCAGAGAUGGUUUCUGAGACACGAAACCAGGCCCUACGGGGCGCAGCAGGCGCGAAAACUUCGCAAUGCGGGAAACCGUGACGAGGGAACUCCAAGUGUCUAUGCAUUGCAUAGACUGUUUUUUAGCCUAAAUAGCUAUUAGAGUAAGGGGUGGGUAAGACCGGUGCCAGCCGCCGCGGUAACACCGGCACCCCGAGUGGUAGCCACUAUUAUUGGGCCUAAAGCGUUCGUAGCCGGUUUGGUAAAUUCUUGGGUAAAUCGUACCGCUUAACGGUGCGGAUUCCGGGGACACUACCAGACUUGAGACCGGGGGAGAUCAGAGGUACUUGCGGGGGAGCGGUGAAAUGUUGUAAUCCCGCAGGGACCACCAGUGGCGAAGGCGUCUGAUCAGAACGGCUCUGACGGUGAGGAACGAAACCCUGGGGCGCAAACGGGAUUAGAUACC